UUUCUAGCCUCCGCCUCCAGGCGGGUGAGGAGGUGACACCUGAGAAUUCCUCCCUCUCACCCCUGACCCUGCCGGAAAGCGAAACUGAGAUGCGGGCAUUGGGCCCUGGGAAGCGUGGGGAAGGGGAAAGGAGAAAGCCAGGUUAACUACGUCAGGAUUAAUGUGUUCCACUUCUGCUGCCUGAGAAAAUGGAGAAAUUAAGUCCUUUCCAUGGAUCAUUCCUUCUGUAAACAGAGAUCACAAAGCAAGAGCUUCAGCAUCCUCGUGAAAAAGACAUUUUGUUCUGGGUGUCAUCAUCUCCUUCCACUACAGCUUGCAAUUGGAACAAGCUUCACAUCCUGGGGGUGCUGCCUAUCUCUGUCUUGAUUUCUGUCUGUCUAUUCCUCCCAUUGACAGGAAUGUCGUUUGUAUCCUCCACGCAGCAGUUUGCAGAAAUCCAGCAAGGUUUAUGGUUUAUGUUGCCCAGCAUGUAUAAACACAACGCUCUCAAAUGCUUUUUAAAAAUCUAUGAAUUUGUUAGAUGUCUUCACAUCCUGGUCCUCCUACCCCAAUUCUCAAACACAAAGUACUCUGUUGCCCUAUUAUAGUCCUGCGAUAGUUCUGGCUAGGAUUAGGUUGACGGUCUAAGCCCCAAGAAAGGCCUGGCAUUUUCAUAGCAGGCUUUCCCCAGUGCUUUGAGUCUUCCUCUCUCACUCCCUUUUUCUUUUUCCCUCGGAGGAGGGGGUGUUGGGGGUGGGAGGUGAUUAGUAAAUGUUUCAGGUAAUC
This 765-nucleotide long non-coding RNA is filed under the name Homo sapiens (human). Its description in RNAcentral is "non-protein coding LINC01806:25". Lineage: Eukaryota; Metazoa; Chordata; Mammalia; Primates; Hominidae. The record is from RNAcentral.